This 1017-nucleotide ribosomal RNA is filed under the name fungal endophyte. RNAcentral describes it as "eukaryotic LSU rRNA". The stretch from base 484 to 1017 matches the Rfam family "Eukaryotic large subunit ribosomal RNA", at positions 1 to 539 of the family's 3401-position model. The record is from RNAcentral. Lineage: Eukaryota; Fungi.
UAUGAUACAGGUAUUCCGAUACUUAUCACCCCUUGUGUAUCUCUCUUGGUUGCUUCGGCGGGCCGCUGGGCCUGGCUCGGCCGCCGUCCCCGGGUGGCGCGCGCCCGCCGGAAGACGCUGAAACCCCGGUUUUUGCAGUGACGUCCGAGCGAUUGGUUUUAAUCAUAUAAAACUUUCAACAACGGAUCUCUUGGUUCCGGCAUCGAUGAAGAACGCAGCGAAAUGCGAUAAGUAAUGUGAAUUGCAGAAUUCAGUGAAUCAUCGAGUCUUUGAACGCACAUUGCGCCCCUUGGCAUUCCGAGGGGCACGCCUGUUCGAGCGUCAUUUAGACCAUCAAGCCCAGCUUGGUAUUGGGCCACCCGCGGCGCCGCAUGGCGCCCCGGCGGUCCCAAUGGCGUUGGCGGCGCGGCCCGGCCCGAAGCGUGACGACAUCACGGCUCACGGACGGGAGGCGCCCGCCAGAUCACCCUUUCUUCUCAAGGUUGACCUCGGAUCAGGUGGGGGUACCCGCUGAACUUAAGCAUAUCAAUAAGCGGAGGAAAAGAAACCAACAGGGAUUGCCUCAGUAACGGCGAGUGAAGCGGCAACAGCUCAAAUUUGAAAGCUGGCUCCUUCGGGGUCCGCAUUGUAAUUUGUAGAGGAUGCAUCGCGGACGGCGCCGCCCUAAGUCCCUUGGAACAGGGCGUCAUAGAGGGUGAGAGUCCCGUAUGUGGGCGGACGCUGGAAGCACAUGAUGCUCCUUCGACGAGUCGAGUUGUUUGGGAAUGCAGCUCUAAUUGGGAGGUAAAUUUCUUCUAAAGCUAAAUAUCGGCCGGAGACCGAUAGCGCACAAGUAGAGUGAUCGAAAGAUGAAAAGCACUUUGAAAAGAGAGUCAAACAGCACGUGAAAUUGUUGAAAGGGAAGCGCUUGCAAUCAGACUCGCCCGCGGUGGAUCAACCGUCGUUCUCGACGGUGCACUCCGCCGCGGUCGGGCCAGCAUCGGUUCGGGCGGUCGGAGAAAGACGGCGGGAAUGUAG